UGACUGCAUUUCUGAAAGCAGGUUUGAGACCAUAAUACCAGCAUCUAAAGAUGAACCCUGCUCCCAGCUGAGAUAAGCAUUAAAACAGGCCAGGACGUUGUCAUUUGCAUUCUGCUUGAUAAUUAAUUGCAUAGCUUUGUUAAUUGCACCUUGGAAGAAAAAUAUGUCAGGCCAUAUAUUUGUGAUGAAUAAAAUCAAUUUCACUGAGUCUGGAAAGUCUUCUUUCAGUAAGCUAUAGCAGAAGAGGCGGGCUCUUUCCA
Molecule: long non-coding RNA, 260 nt
Filed under: Gallus gallus (chicken)
Lineage: Eukaryota; Metazoa; Chordata; Aves; Galliformes; Phasianidae
Source: RNAcentral